Long non-coding RNA from Helianthus annuus (common sunflower), 1754 nucleotides. RefSeq lists it as uncharacterized. The record is from RefSeq and is a predicted model, not a curated record. The transcript has 2 exons. NCBI's taxonomy places the organism in Eukaryota, Viridiplantae, Streptophyta, Magnoliopsida, Asterales, Asteraceae.
CCACCUAAUGAUAAUCACAUCUCCACCGCUUUCUUCUCUCAAUAUCCAUCUAGAAAAUCAGAUCAUCCCUACCAACAUCUUCCAUCCGUACAAUCAAAGAUCCAAACCCGAUAACAAUGAAUUAGGCGAAAUCAGAUUUCUAUCCGAAAAGAAUACUUAUUUCAUAAAUCAUGGCGGUCCAUGUGUGAUGGUAUAUAUACGUGUAUUCUUAAACCCUUAUUCCGGGCGAGGGGGAGAUGGUGAUGGUGGUUGGUGUCGGUGAGAAAGGGGGUGACGGCGACGGAGAGAAAUGAGUGGAGCAGAAAUGCGCGGUCGAGCAGAAAGAAAGAGAAGGGAAGAGAAGAGAAGCAGGGAACAUUAAUGGUCCCUGCCGCCGCUGCCGGGUUUCCCCGACAUCCUUGGGCAGUCCGGCUAUUGCAGAUGCGACGCGACGGCAACAACUUAGUUUUUUCCCUUUUUAACUUUAAAGUUAUGAUUUUAGUUGUGAUUAUGUGAAACUGAUGUUGCGUGAAACUUGAUUUUUUAUUAGAUGUGCCAUUUGUAUACGUGAUUUUAUAUGAGAGUAUCUAUAUUUGGUAAUAGCAGGUAAAUAUGAAGUAAUUCCAUGGAACUUUUAAAACUAUCAAAUAAGUUUACCUAUCUUCUCACUGAAUACAUGCUUUCAAAUGGGAAUUUUUAGGUUUUCUAUUUACUAACUUUUGUUUGAAUUAUGCUUCACUCUUUUUUUGCUGGGUGGUUCCUGAUGCUGCAAUUUAUAAUCACUUUUGCUAAUUAUUGGCGCUCAAUGAAUCUUUAAUAUCAGGUUCAGUUACGUAUUUAGUAGAUUUCUUGAAAGAAAUUGGUAGGCGAAUUCUAAUAGAUGUUUGCCUUUUUGUAGUCAAAAUUGAAUACCUGAAUUGCAUAAAUCUACCAUUGUUUGGGUUUUUAUUUUUUAUUACUUGAAUUGUAUUACAUUAUUAACUUUAAUUGCUUCAGUUUGUUGUCUUAUAGGCUCUAUGGAAAGGUCUUAUAAACGAGGAACAACAACUCCUUAUUGCCCCAAGUUUCUGAUAUCAAAAUUGCAUGUUAUUGUUUCACGCUAAUCACUGUGAUCAUAGAGUUACCAAGCUCAUCGAAGAACGCUUUGAAUAGUAAAAGACACUAAUUGGUGCAGGGUGAGGGUGAUGGGCUCUGGUUGGUAGAGGGAGGAGAUACCAUGCGUCUACAAUAGUCUUUCUUAGCCCACGCGUCACAAGAAGCCAUUUUCCAUCCGGUGGUCUUUUUUCAUAUCCCCACAUGUUGCUUCAUCUUUCAGAAGUUGUAGUUAUUUCUUCAUAUCCACAAGCAAAAAUAUAGCUAUUCAGGAUCUGCCACUAUCAACUCUGAUUUGAGCCCUGUGGCCAAUUGGCCAUCUAUCAUUAUCUUCAGUCAUAAUCGAUGUCCAACGAUCAAACAUAUUUAAUACCCGUAAUUGACAAUUUUUUAACCUUUUUUUGGGUGUUUAAGAUAUGUUGGAUUCUACAAGGGAGUAUAGAGUGCAGGAGCGGCGGUAGCAUGGGAAGCCAAUUAUAUAUGUUUAGUUUUUAACCGUUUUUGGGUGUUUAAGAUAUGUUUACAAAUUAAACCCAACUUAGAAGAAGAAGAUGAAAACCGUUCAGUUUCUUUUCUGAUUUUGAAGUUGUAAAUGUUGUGUGUGCAACGUUGUUAUUUGAAUUGUAGAUUGUGUUGGGAAGCUAAUUAAAUAUGUUUCAUGAAUUUCUUUCAUGUUUCUAUGA